AUUGAACGCUGGCGGCAGGCCUAACACAUGCAAGUCGAACGGUAACAGGAAGCAGCUUGCUGCUUUGCUGACGAGUGGCGGACGGGUGAGUAAUGUCUGUGAAACUGCCUGAUGGAGGGGGAUAACUACUGGAAACGGUAGCUAAUACCGCAUAACGUCGCAAGACCAAAGAGGGGGACCUUAGGGCCUCUUGCCAUCGGAUGUGCCCAGAUGGGAUUAGCUAGUAGGUGGGGUAACGGCUCACCUAGGCGACGAUCCCUAGCUGGUCUGAGAGGAUGACCAGCCACACUGGAACUGAGACACGGUCCAGACUCCUACGGGAGGCAGCAGUGGGGAAUAUUGCACAAUGGGCGCAAGCCUGAUGCAGCCAUGCCGCGUGUAUGAAGAAGGCCUUCGGGUUGUAAAGUACUUUCAGCGGGGAGGAAGGGAGUAAAGUUAAUACCUUUGCUCAUUGACGUUACCCGCAGAAGAAGCACCGGCUAACUCCGUG
RNAcentral lists this ribosomal RNA (490 nucleotides) under uncultured bacterium. RNAcentral describes it as "partial 16S ribosomal RNA". It matches the Rfam family "Bacterial small subunit ribosomal RNA", at positions 30 to 507 of the family's 1533-position model. The record is from RNAcentral.